AUUGAACGCUGGCGGCAGGCUUAACACAUGCAAGUCGAGCGGGGUGAUGGUGCUUGCACUAUCACUUAGCGGCGGACGGGUGAGUAAUGCUUAGGAAUCUGCCUAUUAGUGGGGGACAACAUCUCGAAAGGGAUGCUAAUACCGCAUACGUCCUACGGGAGAAAGCAGGGGAUCACUUGUGACCUUGCGCUAAUAGAUGAGCCUAAGUCGGAUUAGCUAGUUGGUGGGGUAAAGGCCUACCAAGGCGACGAUCUGUAGCGGGUCUGAGAGGAUGAUCCGCCACACUGGACUGAGACACGGCCCAGACUCCUACGGGAGGCAGCAGUGGGGAAUAUUGGACAAUGGGGGGAACCCUGAUCCAGCCAUGCCGCGUGUGUGAAGAAGGCCUUAUGGUUGUAAAGCACUUUAAGCGAGGAGGAGGAUCUUUUGGUUAAUACCCAAGAUGAGUGAACGUUACUCGCAGAAUGAGCACCGGCUAACUCUGUGCCAGCCGCCGCGGUAA
This 502-nucleotide ribosomal RNA is filed under the name uncultured bacterium. Its description in RNAcentral is "partial 16S ribosomal RNA". It matches the Rfam family "Bacterial small subunit ribosomal RNA", at positions 30 to 523 of the family's 1533-position model. The record is from RNAcentral.